This 30-nucleotide ribosomal RNA is filed under the name Nigrospora oryzae. RNAcentral's name for it is "partial 28S ribosomal RNA". The record is from RNAcentral. Lineage: Eukaryota; Fungi; Ascomycota; Sordariomycetes; Amphisphaeriales; Apiosporaceae.
GGUGACCUCGGAUCAGGUAGUAUCACAGUC